CACCCUGGGACUGAGACCCGGCCCAGACUCCUACGGGAGGCAGCAGUAGGAAUCUUCCGCAAUGGACGAAAGUCUGACGGAGCAACGCCGCGUGAGUGAUGAAGGUUUUCGGAUCGUAAAGCUCUGUUGUUAGGGAAGAACAAGUGCCGUUCAAAUAGGGCGGCACCUUGACGGUACCUAACCAGAAAGCCACGGCUAACUACGUGCCAGCAGCCGCGGUAAUACGUAGGUGGCAAGCGUUGUCCGGAAUUAUUGGGCGUAAAGGGCUCGCAGGCGGUUUCUUAAGUCUGAUGUGAAAGCCCCCGGCUCAACCGGGGAGGGUCAUUGGAAACUGGGGAACUUGAGUGCAGAAGAGGAGAGUGGAAUUCCACGUGUAGCGGUGAAAUGCGUAGAGAUGUGGAGGAACACCAGUGGCGAAGGCGACUCUCUGGUCUGUAACUGACGCUGAGGAGCGAAAGCGUGGGGAGCGAACAGGAUUAGAUACCCUGGUAGUCCACGCCGUAAACGAUGAGUGCUAAGUGUUAGGGGGUUUCCGCCCCUUAGUGCUGCAGCUAACGCAUUAAGCACUCCGCCUGGGGAGUACGGUCGCAAGACUGAAACUCAAAGGAAUUGACGGGGGCCCGCACAAGCGGUGGAGCAUGUGGUUUAAUUCGAAGCAACGCGAAGAACCUUACCAGGUCUUGACAUCCUCUGACAAUCCUAGAGAUAGGACGUCCCCUUCGGGGGCAGAGUGACAGGUGGUGCAUGGUUGUCGUCAGCUCGUGUCGUGAGAUGUUGGGUUAAGUCCCGCAACGAGCGCAACCCUUGAUCUUAGUUGCCAGCAUUCAGUUGGGCACUCUAAGGUGACUGCCGGUGACAAACCGGAGGAAGGUGGGGAUGACGUCAAAUCAUCAUGCCCCUUAUGACCUGGGCUACACACGUGCUACAAUGGACAGAACAAAGGGCAGCGAAACCGCGAGGUUAAGCCAAUCCCACAAAUCUGUUCUCAGUUCGGAUCGCAGUCUGCAACUCGACUGCGUGAAGCUGGAAUCGCUAGUAAUCGCGGAUCAGCAUGCCGCGGUGAAUACGUUCCCGGGCCUUGUACACACCGCCCGUCACACCACGAGAGUUUGUAACACCCGAAGUCGGUGAGGUAACCUUUAGGAGC
Molecule: ribosomal RNA, 1147 nt
Filed under: Bacillus velezensis
Lineage: Bacteria; Bacillati; Bacillota; Bacilli; Caryophanales; Bacillaceae
Description: bacterial SSU rRNA
Rfam family: Bacterial small subunit ribosomal RNA
Source: RNAcentral